UUAAAUGAAGUUGACGGGGGAGCACCACAACGGGUGGAGCUUGCGGUUUAAUUGGAUUCAAGCCGGAAAUCUUACCGGGACCGACAGCAAUAUGAAGGCCAGGCUGAAGACUUUGCCGGAUUAGCUGAGAGGUGGUGCAUGGCCGUCGUCAGUUCGUACUGUGAAGCAUCCUGUUAAGUCAGGCAACGAGCGAGACCCACGCCCACAGUUGCCAGCGUACUCUCUGGAGUGACGGGUACACUGUGGGGACCGCCGCUGCUAAAGCGGAGGAAGGAAUGGGCAACGGUAGGUCAGUAUGCCCCGAAUAUCCCGGGCUACAUGCGAGCUACAAUGGUUGGUACAAUGGGUAUCUACCCCGAAAGGGGACGGGAAUCUCCUAAAACCAAUCUUAGUUCGGAUUGAGGGCUGCAACUCGCCCUCAUGAAGCUGGAAUCCGUAGUAAUCGCGUUUCAACAGAACGCGGUGAAUACGUCCCUGCUCCUU
RNAcentral lists this ribosomal RNA (483 nucleotides) under uncultured Methanosaeta sp. Its description in RNAcentral is "bacterial SSU rRNA". It matches the Rfam family "Archaeal small subunit ribosomal RNA", at positions 856 to 1338 of the family's 1478-position model. Lineage: Archaea; Methanobacteriati; Methanobacteriota; Methanomicrobia; Methanotrichales; Methanotrichaceae. The record is from RNAcentral.